CUACGGGUUGCAGCAGUGAGGAAUAUUGCACAAUGGGGGGAACCCUGAUGCAGCAACGCCGCGUGGAGGAUGACGCAUUUCGGUGUGUAAACUCCUUUUAUAUGUCAAGAAAAUGACGGUAGCAUAUGAAUAAGCACCGGCUAACUCCGUGCCAGCAGCCGCGGUAAUACGGAGGGUGCAAGCGUUACUCGGAAUCACUGGGCGUAAAGGACGCGUAGGCGGGUUGGAAAGUCAGGUGUGAAAUCCUACAGCUUAACUGUAGAACUGCACUUGAAACUUCUAAUCUAGAGUAUGGGAGGGGGAGAUGGAAUUAGUGGUGUAGGGGUAAAUCCGUAGAUAUCACUAGGAAUACCUAAAGCGAAGGCGAUCUCCUGGAACAUUACUGACGCUAAGGCGUGAGAGCGUGGGGAGCAAACAGGAUUAGAUACCCCAGUAGUC
Molecule: ribosomal RNA, 438 nt
Filed under: uncultured bacterium
Lineage: Bacteria
Description: partial 16S ribosomal RNA
Rfam family: Bacterial small subunit ribosomal RNA
Source: RNAcentral